AUUGAGUUUGAUCCUGGCUCAGAUUGAACGCUAGCGGGAUGCUUUACACAUGCAAGUCGAACGGCAGCGCGAGAGAGCUUGCUCUCUUGGCGGCGAGUGGCGGACGGGUGAGUAAUAUAUCGGAACGUGCCCAGUAGCGGGGGAUAACUACUCGAAAGAGUGGCUAAUACCGCAUACGCCCUACGGGGGAAAGGGGGGGAUCGCAAGACCUCUCACUAUUGGAGCGGCCGAUAUCGGAUUAGCUAGUUGGUGGGGUAAAGGCUCACCAAGGCAACGAUCCGUAGCUGGUUUGAGAGGACGACCAGCCACACUGGGACUGAGACACGGCCCAGACUCCUACGGGAGGCAGCAGUGGGGAAUUUUGGACAAUGGGGGAAACCCUGAUCCAGCCAUCCCGCGUGUAUGAUGAAGGCCUUCGGGUUGUAAAGUACUUUUGGCAGAGAAGAAAAGGUAUCUCCUAAUACGAGAUACUGCUGACGGUAUCUGCAGAAUAAGCACCGGCUAACUACGUGCCAGCAGCCGCGGUAAAU
RNAcentral lists this ribosomal RNA (530 nucleotides) under uncultured bacterium. RNAcentral's name for it is "bacterial SSU rRNA". It matches the Rfam family "Bacterial small subunit ribosomal RNA", at positions 1 to 525 of the family's 1533-position model. The record is from RNAcentral.